AUGGCGACAGCAGCCACAAGUCGGCCCAGCGGCCCGGUGCUGUCCAUACCCAGCUACCGCUCCGCCUCGCCCACCCGCGUCAAGCUUCCCGCCGGUGGCAGCGGCGCCAACCGCUCCCCGGGCAAGUCCGUCAGCGUCUCGUCCCCGUCCUCCACCACCACAAGCCGGCGGUCCUGCAUGUGCUCCUCGACGAACCACCCGGGCUCGUUCCGGUGCAGCCUCCACAAGGAGCGCAACCAGGCGGCCCCCGCCGGGAGCAGCAAGCCCGCCUCCCCGCCGUCCGUCCGCAGCGCCUGCAAUCUGGGCUCGAAGCGCAUGGACAGCGCUCAGUGUGCCCGCAGGGCCCUCGCGCCUCCCCCCUCUGCGCAGCAGUCGCAGCAGCACCGGAGGCGCGCGGGCGGGUUCCGCCCCAGGCCCAGCAGACUCUCCGCCGUCUCCACGGCCGGCGAGCGUCCCAUCAACAAGUACCAGUAA
This 474-nucleotide ribosomal RNA is filed under the name Triticum aestivum (bread wheat). Its description in RNAcentral is "partial small subunit ribosomal RNA". The record is from RNAcentral. Lineage: Eukaryota; Viridiplantae; Streptophyta; Magnoliopsida; Poales; Poaceae.